CUCGUAGGUGGCCAACUAAGUCAGACGUGAAAUCCCUCAGCUUAACUGGGGAACUGCGUCUGAUACUGGAUGGCUUGAGUUUGGGAGAGGGAUGCGGAAUUCCAGGUGUAGCGGUGAAAUGCGUAGAUAUCUGGGGGAACACCGGUGGCGAAGGCGGCAUCCUGGACCAAUACUGACACUGAGGAGCGAAAGCCAGGGGGAAGCGAAACG
This 210-nucleotide ribosomal RNA is filed under the name uncultured bacterium. RNAcentral's name for it is "partial 16S ribosomal RNA". It matches the Rfam family "Bacterial small subunit ribosomal RNA", at positions 568 to 775 of the family's 1533-position model. The record is from RNAcentral.